GGAAUCUUCCACAAUGGACGCAAGUCUGAUGGAGCAACGCCGCGUGAGUGAAGAAGGUUUUCGGACCGUAAAGCUCUGUUGUUGGUGAAGAAGGAUAGAGGUAGUAACUGGCCUUUAUUUGACGGUAAUCAACCAGAAAGUCACGGCUAACUACGUGCCAGCAGCCGCGGUAAUACGUAGGUGGCAAGCGUUGUCCGGAUUUAUUGGGCGUAAAGCGAGCGCAGGCGGAAGAAUAAGUCUGAUGUGAAAGCCCUCGGCUUAACCGAGGAAUUGCAUCGGAAACUGUUUUCUUGAGUGCAGAAGAGGAGAGUAGAACUCCAUGUGUAGCGGUGGAAUGCGUAGAUAUAUGGAAGAAUACCAGUGGCGAAGGCGGCUCUCUGGUCUGCAACUGACGCUGAGGCUCGAAAGCAUGGGUAGCGAACAGGAUUAGAUACCCUUGGUAGUCCAUGCCGUAAACGAUGAGUGCUAAGUGUUGGGAGGCUUCCGCCUCUCAGUGCUGCAGCUAACGCAUUAAGCACUCCGCCUGGGGGAGUACGACCGCAAGGUUGAAAC
RNAcentral lists this ribosomal RNA (552 nucleotides) under uncultured bacterium. RNAcentral's name for it is "partial 16S ribosomal RNA". It matches the Rfam family "Bacterial small subunit ribosomal RNA", at positions 358 to 900 of the family's 1533-position model. The record is from RNAcentral.